ACACUCUUAGCUCAACUGGAUAGAGCAAUAGCCUUCUAAGUUAUAGGUCACAGGUUCGAGUCCUGUAGAGUGUG
Molecule: transfer RNA, 74 nt
Organism: Fonticula alba
Lineage: Eukaryota; Rotosphaerida; Fonticulaceae
Rfam family: tRNA
About the family: Transfer RNA (tRNA) molecules are approximately 80 nucleotides in length. Their secondary structure includes four short double-helical elements and three loops (D, anti-codon, and T loops).
Source: Rfam